RNAcentral lists this ribosomal RNA (1250 nucleotides) under metagenome. Its description in RNAcentral is "SSU rRNA". It matches the Rfam family "Eukaryotic small subunit ribosomal RNA", at positions 1 to 1206 of the family's 1831-position model. The record is from RNAcentral.
UCUGGUUGAUCCUGCCAGUAGUCAUACGCUUGUCUCAAAGAUUAAGCCAUGCAUGUCUAAGUAUAAAGGUUACAUACAAUGAAACUGCGAAUGGCUCAUUCAAACAGUUAUAGUUUAUUUGGAUUUACACAUUAGUUAAAUGGAUAACCGUAGUAAUUCUAGGGCUAAUACAUGCGUUACGGGGGACUUUACGGAACCCCAGUAUUUAUUAGAUUCAAACCAAUAUUCCGAAGGUCUACUUGAGAUGAUUCAUGAUAACUGAUCGAAUUGCUGGUCUACCGGCAAUAAGUCAUUCAUGUUUCUGCUUCCCGUCAGCUUGAUGGUAGUGUAUUGGACAACCAUGGCAUUCACGGGCUAUCGGGGGAUUAGGGUUCGAUUCCGGAGAGGGAGCCUGAGAAACGGCUACCACUUCUACGGAAGGCAGCAGGCGCGAAAAUUAUCCAAUCCUGAUUCAGGGAGGUAGUGAAACAAAUAAUGAACUAGGAUUUAUCCUGGGGUCACAAUGGGCUUGAUUUGCAAACUUUAUUUAGCGAGGAACAAUUGGAGGGCAAGUCUGGUGCCAGCAGCCGCGGUAAUUCCAGCUCCAAUAGUGUAUAUUAAUGUUCCUGCAGUUAUUCGAUGCUCGUAGUUGGAUUUCUGGAGGCUGAGAUCGGAGGGUAGCCAAGGUUACCGCUGAACUCUUCCUUCAUCCACCUGUUAACGUUGUCCGGGAUUCGUUUCUCGGCUUCGGGCUCAGGCAUAUACUUUUACCCUUUUUCUAUAUUUAUUGUUUUGAGUAAAUUAUAGUGUUUCAGGCAGGCGUGCGCCGGAAUACUUUAGCAUGGAAUAAUCGAAUUGGACCGUGUAUUCUUAUUGAAUUCUUCCUUAUUGUUGGUUCAAGGACACGGAAAUGGUUAAUAGGGAUAGUGUUUUUAUUAUCAGGGGAGGCAUUAGUAUUUAAUUUCCAGAGGUGAAAUUCUUUGAAAUAUUAAAGACUAACUUAUGCGAAAGCAUUUAUUAUUGCCAAUAAUGUUUUCAUUAAUCAUUGAACGAAAGUUAGGGGAUCAAAGACGAUCAGAUACCGUCCUAGUCUUAACCAUAAACGUUGCCGACUAGGGAUCGGAGGGCGUGCACAUUCCGCCUUCGGCACCUUACGAGAAAUCAAAGUCUUUUGGGUUCUGGGGGUAGUAUGGUCGCAAGGCUGAAACUUAAAGGAAUUGACGGAAGGGCACCACCAGGAGUGGAGCUUGCGGCUCAAUUUGACUCAACAC